AAGAUUAAUACGCAUAAGAUUGUAGUAUCGCAUGAUAUAGCAAUUAAAGGAGCAAUUCGCUAUAAGAUGGACCCGCGUCGCAUUAGCUAGUUGGUGAGGUAAUGGCUCACCAAGGCGACGAUGCGUAGCCGACCUGAGAGGGUGAUCGGCCACAUUGGGACUGAGACACGGCCCAGACUCCUACGGGAGGCAGCAUG
Molecule: ribosomal RNA, 197 nt
Filed under: uncultured bacterium
Lineage: Bacteria
Description: partial 16S ribosomal RNA
Rfam family: Bacterial small subunit ribosomal RNA
Source: RNAcentral